AGAGCGACCGGUGCUUGCACUGGUCAAUCUAGUGGCGAACGGGUGAGUAACACGUGGGUAACCUGCCCAUCAGAGGGGGAUAACAUUCGGAAACGGAUGCUAAAACCGCAUAGGUUCUUUAGUCGCAUGACUGAAGAAGGAAAAGAGGCUUCGGCUUCUGCUGAUGGAUGGACCCGCGGUGCAUUAGCUAGUUGGUGAGGUAACGGCUCACCAAGGCCGUGAUGCAUAGCCGACCUGAGAGGGUGAUCGGCCACAUUGGGACUGAGACAUGGCCCAAACUCCUACGGGAGGCAGCAGUAGGGAAUCUUCCGCAAUGGACGCAAGUCUGACGGAGCAACGCCGCGUGAGUGAAGAAGGAUUUCGGUUCGUAAAACUCUGUUGUUAGAGAAGAACAGCGCAUAGAGUAACUGUUAUGCGUGUGACGGUAUCUAACCAGAAAGCCACGGCUAACUACGUGCCAGCAGCCGCGGUAAUACGUAGGUGGCAAGCGUUGUCCGGAUUUAUUGGGCGUAAAGCGAGCGCAGGCGGUCAAUUAAGUCUGAUGUGAAAGCCCCCGGCUCAACCGGGGAGGGUCAUUGGAAACUGGUUGACUUGAGUGCAGAAGAGGAGAGUGGAAUUCCAUGUGUAGCGGUGAAAUGCGUAGAUAUAUGGAGGAACACCAGUGGCGAAGGCGACUCUCUGGUCUGUAACUGACGCUGAGGCUCGAAAGCGUGGGUAGCAAACAGGAUUAGAUACCCUGGUAGUCCACGCCGUAAACGAUGAGUGCUAAGUGUUGGAGGGUUUCCGCCCUUCAGUGCUGCAGU
Molecule: ribosomal RNA, 803 nt
Filed under: uncultured Lactobacillales bacterium
Lineage: Bacteria; Bacillati; Bacillota; Bacilli; Lactobacillales
Description: bacterial SSU rRNA
Rfam family: Bacterial small subunit ribosomal RNA
Source: RNAcentral